UACGACUACAUAUCAGGCAUAUCAAUAAGCGGAGGAAAAGAAACUAACAAGGAUUCCCCUAGUAACGGCGAGUGAAGCGGGAAGAGCUCAAAUUUGAAAUCUUAAAGGUUUCCCUUGACGAAUUGUAGUUUAUAGAAGUGUUUUCUGUAGUGGAGUUCUGGUAAAAGUUCUUUGGAAUAGGACAUCAUAGAGGGUGAGAAUCCCGUAUUUGAUCAUUAUUCCUAGCUGUGUGAUACACUUUCAAAGAGUCGGAUUGUUUGGGAAUGCAGUCCAAAAUGGGUGGUAAAUUUCAUCUAAAGCUAAAUAUUGGCGAGAGACCGAUAGCGAACAAGUACCGUGAGGGAAAGAUGAAAAGAACUUUGAAAAGAGAGUUAAACAGUACGUGAAAUUGUCAAAAGGGAAGCGUUUGACACCAGUGUUGUUUUCUCGAAAAUCAAUUAAAAAGUAUGGGAUUUUGUAUUGUUAAGACCUUAUCAGCUUACGGUACUUUUUUCUUAUUCUUUUUAAUGCACUUUUCGUUUAACAAGUCAACAUCAAUUUCUUUUGUUGUAAAAGAGUCAUUGGAAGGUGGCUUUCACUUCGGUGAAAGUGUUUAUAGCCUUUGACUUCUGCAAUCGGAGAGACUGAGGUCUGCAGCGUAGAUCCUUCGGGGUUAGAUACGUAGAUGCUAAGUUAUAGUUUUUCAUAGACAACUUGUUGACUAUGAUUAAUCAUGUAGCUUACUCGUUUGCGCUAUUUUACCUACGCUUAGGAUGUUGAAUCUGUGCGAGACUAC
Molecule: ribosomal RNA, 775 nt
Filed under: uncultured Neocallimastigales
Lineage: Eukaryota; Fungi; Neocallimastigomycota; Neocallimastigomycetes; Neocallimastigales
Description: partial large subunit ribosomal RNA
Rfam family: Eukaryotic large subunit ribosomal RNA
Source: RNAcentral